GUGCAACGAUUAGCUCUGUGUUUGACUACUUAUAAGGAUUGUUUCCUUUUUUCAGCUCAGAAAUGUCCAGUCGUGGGAUGUUGAAAGCAGAAGAAAAAUAAGACCUCCUUAGUUACACCUCAGAGGAAAAAAAAAAAAAAAAAGAUGACUAUAACAAUGUUCUUAUAGGUCAAAGCUUUCAACAGGAUACAUUGCAGGCUGUUUCUAUCUGGGUCACACACACUGAACAGAGACGAGACAUGAAAGCUGCGGUGGGACUGCUGGUGCUGCUGGUCGGAGUUUCUUAUACUCCUGUGUCCUCUGUCCUGCUGGUCUCUGAGUGUCUGUCCCAGGGAGAGAUGAAGGUGUCCUGCUCCUCUGAGGGAGGGGACAGUCCUCAGUACAGCUGGACUCUGGAUGGACGCACACUGACAGAUGCUGAGCUUCUUUCUGUAAAUAAUGAGAGUAACAUCAUCACUCUGAAACAGCACGUCUCAGGACGUCUUGCCUGCUCAGUCAGAAACAACGUCUCCAAAGAGGAGAGAAUAUCUACCUGUGGCUGCAUUUUCAUUAACUGCACUUCAGUCAAUGGGUCACAGAUAUCACGGUGGGUGUAUAAAGCCAAUAACACCCUGUGUAUUAAAACAACAACAGAUCAUACACAAACUGGCAUCGUGUCAAAAGAAAACUCCACUAACAGCAGUGAUGAUCCAUGGUACAUUAGUAAGUGGAAAAUAAAAACCUGUAGUUCAAUGUGUGUAAUUUUCCUCUUCCUUCUUGUCCUUUUCUAUAAAAACAUGUUGUGUGUUUGCUGACUCAAACAUCUGUGUUUGUGGCUUUCUUUGUUUUGAACAGGAUAUUUCCCAAUGGUUAGUAUUGUUCUCUCAGCAGCUGUAAUUUACUUAGUUGUGGGUGUAGCACUCAUCUGUGCUCAGAGGAAAAAGCAAAACAACAGACCAACAAAACAAAAAGAUGAAGAAGGUGAGCACGAAGUAACAUAUGCUAAUCUAGGGGUCAUGAAACAGCAGGAGAAGCGAGUGGAGCAAACAGGACAGGUGGAAGCAGAGGUGGAGUAUGGCCAAGUCCACUUUUCAAAGCCGCUUCAGCACACUGAACCUACAGAAGAUGAUUGCUUGUAUGCCAGAGUUCAUAAAGUCAGGUGAAUUAAGAGCUUCUAUGCAGAAUAACCACUGAAGAGCCACAGAGGGAGGACUUGUUGUCAAGAUGUGUGAAUGUCUCUCAUUUAUUGUGAUUUUCAGUGUAUGAGCUUUUCACAUCAAUGCUCAUGCAUAUUGAUUUUCUUCACUUUCACUGCACUUGUUGUUCAUAACAAGGCAUAAAUCCAUACUGUAUUAGGUGGCUCUCAAUUACAAGCACCAUGAGUUUAUUAUUUUAUUUUUCAUUUGUAUUCUGUUAAAGAUCUGAGAUUUCCUCCUGUCAUCAUGUCAGCGUGACAAGUUUUUCACUUAUCUCGUUAAAAGAAUAAGGUAAAAUUGAAAAACUGAAUUGUUUGACAAAUUUCACUGCAGCAACACUUUACAGUGAUACAAAUUUACAUAUUGAAUAAAAACAAUAAUUUAAUAACUCAUUAUUGUUAAUAAAUUAUAAUAAUAAUACAUGUACUAAGUCAGACCUUCCCAAAGUGUGGGGCCCGCCCCCUAGGGGGGGCGCAGAGCCAUCGCAGGGGGUGCUCGGUAUGAAAAGGGAAAAAAAAAAAAAACAAUGCUUGGACACUGCUAGCACGGGGCUCCUAC
This is a long non-coding RNA of Astatotilapia calliptera (eastern happy), 1733 nucleotides long. NCBI's taxonomy places the organism in Eukaryota, Metazoa, Chordata, Actinopteri, Cichliformes, Cichlidae. The record is from Ensembl.